This 402-nucleotide ribosomal RNA is filed under the name Verrucomicrobiota bacterium. Its description in RNAcentral is "Verrucomicrobia bacterium partial 16S ribosomal RNA". It matches the Rfam family "Bacterial small subunit ribosomal RNA", at positions 355 to 776 of the family's 1533-position model. The record is from RNAcentral. Lineage: Bacteria; Pseudomonadati; Verrucomicrobiota.
UGGGGAAUAUUGCACAAUGGGGGAAACCCUGAUGCAGCGACGCCGCGUGAGCGAAGAAGGUUUUCGAAUCGUAAAGCUCUGUCCUAUGAGAAGAUAAUGACGGUAUCAUAGGAGGAAGCCCCGGCUAAAUACGUGCCAGCAGCCGCGGUAAUACGUAUGGGGCGAGCGUUGUCCGGAAUUAUUGGGCGUAAAGGGUACGUAGGCGGUCUAUUAAGUCAGGUGUGAAAGCGUGAGGCUUAACCUCAUUAAGCACUUGAAACUGAUAGACUUGAGUGAAGGAGAGGAAAGUGGAAUUCCUAGUGUAGCGGUGAAAUGCGUAGAUAUUAGGAGGAAUACCGGUGCGAAGGCGACUUUCUGGACUUUUACUGACGCUCAGGUACGAAAGCGUGGGGAGCAAACAGG